UACGUAGGGGGCAAGCGUUGUCCGGAUUUAUUGGGCGUAAAGAGCGUGUAGGCGGCUUGACAGGUCUGCUGUGAAAACUCGAGGCUCAACCUCGAGAUGUCGGCGGAAACCGUCUGGCUAGAGUCCGGAAGAGGAGAGUGGAAUUCCUGGUGUAGCGGUGAAAUGCGCAGAUAUCAGGAAGAACACCUAUGGCGAAGGCAGGUCUCUGGGCAUUAACUGACGCUGAGGAGCGAAAGCAUGGGGAGCGAACAGG
RNAcentral lists this ribosomal RNA (253 nucleotides) under uncultured bacterium. Its description in RNAcentral is "partial 16S ribosomal RNA". It matches the Rfam family "Bacterial small subunit ribosomal RNA", at positions 524 to 776 of the family's 1533-position model. The record is from RNAcentral.